CUUUUGCUGGACUCUAUUUAGUGUUUCAUUAAAAAGUAAACAAAUGUUUGUUGUAUUUGGGCAUGUAAGUGAGCUAUGGCCAAACCUUGUCUUGUUCUGAGAAGAGACAUACUCAGUACUGCAUGGAUCUGAUGAAAUCUACCACCCCUGUUGGCAGAAAAGUGAUCGAUUGAGAGCACAUGCUCUUGAACCACCUCAACAAGGAUUACCAAUUAUUGUUUUACCGAACUGGAAAAGAAGACCAGAUACCUAAGGCCAUUAUUUUUUUUUAGACUAACUCACUGGAAAGAUUAUUAUUAGAUAAGAUAAGCCUUUAUUAACUGAAUUAAAUUACAUUAAUGCUAUGUACAUAUAGUAUUAUAUUUCAAACAAAUAAAUAAUAUUUUAGUUUUUGA
This is a long non-coding RNA of Maniola jurtina (meadow brown), 395 nucleotides long. RefSeq lists it as uncharacterized. The record is from RefSeq and is a predicted model, not a curated record. The transcript has 2 exons. Lineage: Eukaryota; Metazoa; Arthropoda; Insecta; Lepidoptera; Nymphalidae.